RNAcentral lists this ribosomal RNA (424 nucleotides) under Verrucomicrobiota bacterium. Its description in RNAcentral is "Verrucomicrobia bacterium partial 16S ribosomal RNA". It matches the Rfam family "Bacterial small subunit ribosomal RNA", at positions 355 to 776 of the family's 1533-position model. Lineage: Bacteria; Pseudomonadati; Verrucomicrobiota. The record is from RNAcentral.
UGAGGAAUAUUGGUCAAUGGGCGAGAGCCUGAACCAGCCAAGUAGCGUGCAGGAUGACGGCCCUAUGGGUUGUAAACUGCUUUUAUGUGGGGAUAAAGUGCGUGACGUGUCAUGCAUUGCAGGUACCACAUGAAUAAGGACCGGCUAAUUCCGUGCCAGCAGCCGCGGUAAUACGGAAGGUCCGGGCGUUAUCCGGAUUUAUUGGGUUUAAAGGGAGCGUAGGCUGUUGGUUAAGCGUGUUGUGAAAUGUAGAUGCUCAACAUCUGACUUGCAGCGCGAACUGGCUGACUUGAGUACACACAACGUAGGCGGAAUUCAUGGUGUAGCGGUGAAAUGCUUAGAUAUCAUGAAGAACUCCGAUUGCGAAGGCAGCUUACGGGAGUGUUACUGACGUUUAAGCUCGAAGGUGCGGGUAUCGAACAGG